UACGGAGGGAGCUAGCGUUGUUCGGAAUUACUGGGCGUAAAGCGCACGUAGGCGGCUUUGUAAGUUAGAGGUGAAAGCCUGGAGCUCAACUCCAGAACUGCCUUUGAUACUGCAUGGCUUGAAUCCAGGAGAGGUGAGUGGAAUUCCGAGUGUAGAGGUGAAAUUCGUAGAUAUUCGGAAGAACACCAGUGGCGAAGGCGGCUGACUGGACAUGUAUUGACGCUGAGGUGCGAAAGCGUGGGGAGCAAACAGG
Molecule: ribosomal RNA, 253 nt
Filed under: uncultured bacterium
Lineage: Bacteria
Description: partial 16S ribosomal RNA
Rfam family: Bacterial small subunit ribosomal RNA
Source: RNAcentral